AUGUGCAUGCUGCAAAUAUGGGUACUGAUUUUAAUAUUUAUCUUAUUAUUAUUAUUCAGUGGGUUUUAUUUUCCAUCUUUUUUCAUUAAUUAUGGCAUUUAUUCCCUGUAAGUAUGUUUAUUCUGUGUAUAAUCUGCCUUGUUGUAAAGUACGUGCUGCAUUUCUGGUAUGAAAGGUGAUAUAUAAAUAAUGUUUAUUAUAUUAUUAUCCUUUAUCUUACAGUUCUACAGACUUUUUUUUGUAGAGCUUCUUCUUUCUAUUAUACAAUAGUAUACACAUAACAUCAAUAUAUACUAUACAAAACCAAGUAAAAAAAAGAAUAAAGUACUAGUACUUUUGCCUCAAAUUAAGUUGAAUAAACCCCUUUGUAAAACAGUUUCAAUAUAAUCAUAACCUUCAUAGUAUGUAUUGCAGGGUUGAUGUAAGACUGAAGCAAUUUUAGUAAGGGUACCUAUUUAAAGUGUGCUCAUAAAUGUCUUCUGCCAGGACCAAUAGUCAUCCCAUCCCCAAAAAACUGUACUAUUAUUGAUACAUAUUGAUUUUAGGGGUAUUCAUUUAAACAUAUUGUAAAACUUAAUUUUGCCAACAUCCUGCAAACACAACAGCAAGGUGAAUGCAUUUGCAUAAUGUUACCUGCUCCUGAGCAAAAAUGAAUGAAAUGAAAUGAAAAGCACACACUUCACACACCUGAGUGGAUCCCUGGCUAAUGGACUUGUACUAUAAAUCUAUCAUUAACGAUGGCUAAAUCUACAGUGCGUCCUGUAACACUACCAAUUAUAACCUCCACCGGCUGACUUAUAGUUUGCCAACAUUGUCAACACAUAGCGAUGUAUGUGUGUAAACUAGGCCAUCAUGGCUCUGAGGACUUAACCUUUGGCUGACGGUACUGUGGCCGUUUAAUCCUAUGUGGGAGAUCUGGCUUCAGCCCUUAUUUGUUACAAGUGCACCAUGUGAUUAAGUCUCGUUAUAUGGAGUGGCUGCACAUUUGAUUCUUUCAUUCAUCAAGCUAAUUUACAGUCAAAGAAAUGGCAGUUUUGUUGCAGCACCAUUUCCUCUGAGCUCAGAAACUCAGACAUGGUUGUCUUGCCAUUAGGUUUUGGACUUUAGUGUUUACAUAGUGUUGGUUACUAACUUAGAAGUCACAAUAACAUUGUUAAUGUC
This is a long non-coding RNA of Sander lucioperca (pikeperch), 1161 nucleotides long. RefSeq lists it as uncharacterized. The record is from RefSeq and is a predicted model, not a curated record. Lineage: Eukaryota; Metazoa; Chordata; Actinopteri; Perciformes; Percidae. The transcript has 2 exons.